CGGCUCCGGGUGCGUCUGUAUGGUGAUGGGUCACUGUGUGUGCCUGGGCUCCGGGCCACAGCCUGGGUGUGCAGAUGUGGGGGCCGCGUGUGCAGAUGUGGGGCCGCGCGCUCGCCCGACCGGCGAGGGUGCGCCUGGAUCCGCGCCUCUGGGUCUGAACUCAGAGGGCGUGACGCCUGUGGGUGUUUCGGUGCCCGUGGGGCUGCCCCUGUGCCUGUGCCUGCGGCUGGGGCUGGUGUGUCUGCACACGCAGAGCGCAGCAGCGCCCCUGCCCGCCCCAGCUCUUCCCCGGGAGCCCAGCCGGAGGGGACCCAGGGUAAAGCCUCCCCUGGAAGGGAGCCGGGAGCCCCGCCCCCCAGGGAGCUAAUUAAGGGAGCCCUGGCGUCUGAAGCUGCGACGUGGGCAGGAGCCCGGUGCUGAGCCGCUGGCAUCGCUCCUGCAGUGGGAAGGCAGCAAGCGCCCCCAGCCCAGAAAACCUGGGCCCUCCUUUCCCGCUGACUCCUGGUGCGCCCACCCUCCCCACUGGCAGGGGUUCAAAGGGGACGUGAUCAGCGUUUGCCCAAGGGGGCUUUCUGGGCCCUGCCACAUGGGGGCCCCGGGCGUGCACACUUGAGGGUCAACAUGGGGGCUCUGGGGCCUGGGAGAUGCGGACUGAGGGCUUGGCAUCCUGCAGCAAAGAUGGGGUUUGGCCCGAACCUGGGACCCCGAGACCCCCGUGCCCCAGAGCCCUUUCCCGGGGGCCCCGCUACCAUCUCAUAGGUCUGGUGCUCCUGGAGCAGCUUCCGGAAGCCCUGGGGCAGCCAAAUGUCUUCCUCUUCCCCCUCCCCACAGAGCUUCAUCUGAGGGGGCGGAGGUGGCAGUGGCAGGAGCUUUGGGGCGGCUCCACGUGGCAGAGCCAUCGAGUCAAACUGCCACCUCGGCCAAAGGGCAGGGAGAGUCCAAAGCCCCCACCUCACUGCUGGCAUUUCUCACUGGCUUCACCGGACAUUUAAGAGCUCAGGGCUCCGUCUCCAUCUCUCCGUCCAGCCCUCACAUACUCCCUGCUGGCGUCAACUUCCCAAAACAUGGGUGCCAGCCUACCAUCCCGUCACUGCACAGUCCUCCUUGGCUCCCCGCUACCCCAGAAUGAAAGUUCUCAUCACACACAGGCUUCCUCUCCAGUGCCGGCCUCUCCUUCCCCACUCAGCUUCCCAAAUUAAAGUCACACCUCCUCCUCCUGGAUCUUCUUCCCAGGGACCCUCAGGAUGUGCUGUUGCACCACGAGGCACCUCCCAGUCUGCCCCACUCCCCUCAUCACAAUGGCCGGUGCCCGGUGCCCAGUGCCCCACCCCUCCCAGCCCUGCAUGCAAGCUGGUCUGAUCAGCUGAUUCAUACUAGAGUGAAAAUGGCUGAAAAGCCAGUAGCCGUGUGAAUUUUCUCUGGAAACAAAGCACUAUUUAUAUGGA
Non-coding RNA from Vicugna pacos (alpaca), 1445 nucleotides. The record is from RefSeq and is a predicted model, not a curated record. Lineage: Eukaryota; Metazoa; Chordata; Mammalia; Artiodactyla; Camelidae.